UGGGGAAUUUUGGACAUUGGGGGAAACCCUGAUCCAGCCAUCCCGCGUGUGCGAUGAAGGCCUUCGGGUUGUAAAGCACUUUUGGCAGGAAAGAAACGUCAUGGGUUAAUACCCCGUGAAACUGACGGUACCUGCAGAAUAAGCACCGGCUAACUACGUGCCAGCAGCCGCGGUAAUACGUAGGGUGCAAGCGUUAAUCGGAAUUACUGGGCGUAAAGCGUGCGCAGGCGGUUCGGAAAGAAAGAUGUGAAAUCCCAGAGCUCAACUUUGGAACUGCAUUUUUAACUACCGGGCUAGAGUGUGUCAGAGGGAGGUGGAAUUCCGCGUGUAGCAGUGAGAUGCGUAGAUAUGCGGAGGAACACCGAUGGCGAAGGCAGCCUCCUGGGAUAACACUGACGCUCAUGCACGAAAGCGUGGGGAGCAAACAGG
RNAcentral lists this ribosomal RNA (429 nucleotides) under Acidobacteriota bacterium. Its description in RNAcentral is "Acidobacteria bacterium partial 16S ribosomal RNA". It matches the Rfam family "Bacterial small subunit ribosomal RNA", at positions 355 to 776 of the family's 1533-position model. The record is from RNAcentral. Lineage: Bacteria; Pseudomonadati; Acidobacteriota.